CUCCUCGAUCUGCUCAGCAUUCAGGAAACGAUCGCUGGCACAGACGCGCACGGACGGCAGCCCUCGUGGGAUCGAUCGUCCGCUUCUCGACGCUUUACAUAUUUACAAGAAAGAGAAACGCGUGUUUGUGAACAACCUCCAGCAGCGGCUUUCUGUCAACAGCUGCCCCUGUUGGUCGACAGAGUCACGAGGGACCAUAGAGGGGGAACGCGAACCCUCCGGUCACUGGUUUUUCCGCACGUUUGCAGUUUGCCACCGGAGCCAUGGUGGCGGCGGUCCUCAAGCUGUACGUCAUCGGAACGGCGCUGGGCGUCCUCGCCGUCCUCUACGGGAUAGUGGACACCUUUGGUGGGCUGAUGUACGUCCAGGACUGUCCCUACGUCAUGGACUUUGAGCGGCAGACACGGGGGCAGCUCUCCCCGGGCCGCCACCAGAGAGCGUCUCCUCCGGCGAAGAACAUUGGCUCGUGAGGGGCAUGCGUCUCACCUGGGUCUGCUGCUGGAUGGACCAUCUGGCUUCUUCUUUGGCAACGGAUGGGCUACGGGACAUCUGACUUUCGUCGGCACUGAACAGACUGCUGCCAUGCCCACAUGUUCCUAAGAACUCCCGCGUGUGCCACGUGCCUCCAAAACCGGCGGCGUUGGGAGGUCCAAACUUGACAGCAGCAAUGUUGUAGCACUACUGAACAAUUUGCACUAACAAUCGGAAUGUUUUGUCUUGAUAUCUUAAUUUCGGAUUAAAAUGAUUUGUUUUAAA
This is a long non-coding RNA of Pungitius pungitius (ninespine stickleback), 756 nucleotides long. RefSeq lists it as uncharacterized. The record is from RefSeq and is a predicted model, not a curated record. The transcript is spliced from 2 exons. NCBI's taxonomy places the organism in Eukaryota, Metazoa, Chordata, Actinopteri, Perciformes, Gasterosteidae.